UUUGGCUGGCAGUCAUUUAAGGCUAAAAUGUAUCUCUGAGUUGAAGGUGAAUGUAUCGAGCAAGUCCAGAUUAUGCUUUUGCUCAGCUUUCAUCUGUCUUUCUAAUUCUUGCUUGUUUCUAAGGGUGAGUUCAGUGGACAGUGAGGAAGCUUGGUAGCACUGUUUCCUCCUCCUUUAGGAUGGAGAUGAAGGUUUGAACUCAGUGGCUUUGUUUGCCUGCUAUGUGGUAGUAAGAUGUGACGGGCUUUACAAGAGGCACUGGCACAUAGUCAGCAGUCUUUCUGAAUCAUGAGUCUGACAUGCUGGCAGGAAAGGAAGAGAAUACAUAUCUAGCUCAGAAGCAGCAAGAUGAGCAUGUUUUGGUGCCUUAUGUUACACAGCCACAACUGUAUUUAAAGCACUGAGACAACAGAGCCUGGAAGCAGCAGCAAUGAUCCACAGUGUGCGUCUGAAGUAAGCCCUGCAGAUCUCAGUGCAGGAAGAGGACUGUUACCUUCCUUUGCAAUCAUCUCAUGAAGCCUGCCCUGUUGUUGCAGUGACAGCUUUUGCCCUAUCAAGAUAGCUGGUUAUGUGAGAUGGUUAACCAAUGCUGCAGGGUAAGCCGAGCCACAGGAAAUCCAUUUCUCAUUCUCUGUAACGAGAUGUCAUCGUCAAGCUUUGAUUGUAUAUAUGCUAAUACAGGCUAAUCUUGCACCCGCUCUCCCUUCACCCUCUUAAGGCAAAGCAAAGUGUGUAUCAUCAGGCUGCAACCUGAUGGAAAGGAUGAAUGCUGCCUUUAACUAUUGAGACUCUGUUGCUGGAAGGGGAGCAGCCCUUACUGCUUUGUCUUCAGUUUGCUUUCAUAUGAGCUGCUUUGAGUGUUUUGCCACCUGUAAGGACCCACCUCAUCCAUAGAACCUAAGAUGCCAUAGAUUCCAGUGUGCUGAGGUAUGUUAGAGUUGGUUUUUUUUCUGCUUUCAAUCCAAUAUUUCAGAGCAAUAAUAGACUCUGCCAAGUGCCUGAGAAUGCCAGCACAAAGCACUUGGGUUUCUGAGUGGGAGGAUGUAUGUUAUUCUUUGCUGGAUCUACAGGAGUGCUAACCUUGAAGCCUUCAGUCACAAGGGGGAGAAGCAAAAGGCUUGAGCACUCUUCUUUGUAAAGCCAAUUCAGUUUGAGAUCAAAGAUGGGAUCGAUCUGAGGCCCAGGAACACAAGCAGUGCCCUGAGGCAGGACACGAGCUGCUGUCUGGCUCAGGGCACUUCCAGCCUUGUGGUAGCAGGUCAGAACCUCCACACACAGCCCCAGCUUGAGGCAGUGAACAGAGGGUUUGGGGGCCCAGGGGUGUUGUUUGCAAUCAUAUAUAAGCACAUCAGAACAGCCAGGGAGAGCAGUGGCUGGGGCAAGGUCUGCUGUGGGGCUGAUUGCUGCUGCUGGGGAACACACUGCAUCCAUAUUCACUCUGAGCUCAUUGCUGUGUGUGUAUUUAGACCCGCUUUCUUAAUUCAGCAAGUGAGAUGGUCUGCUGUUGAAGUUUCACCCCUUCAAUCUGCCAGGUAUGAAGCUCAUGGGAUAUUCCCUUCCCUAUGGCAGCGUGUGAACCAGCAGAGCCUUAUUCCUGAGAGCCAAUGGGGCUGUGGAAUCAGGUGAGCUGCUCAGCUGAUGGGAUGGAGAGGAGGUGACCCCCACCCCUGUGAUGUCCUCAGCUGUAUUGCAGAGAUGCAGACCAAGGGGAGGUGGUAGUUGCAGGUAUAGGAAGCAAACAGGGGGCUCUGUUCCCUGGCUAGAAGCCUAAUCCCUGCACUCUGCUGUUUGUAAAGUGCCUUGAGAUGCUCAGACAGAGGGCAUUACUGAUACGGGAAGAGCAGGCAAAUGCUAAUGGAAGAGGCUGUUAGCAGCAUGAGCUGCAGCUUGGAAAAUGUCCUCGCAGGGGAAACGUGCUUAGCCUGCACUUCUGAGCUGCACCUGGGGUUUGUGCUGUAAUUCAGCUGCUGGAGCUGCACUGUGUUGGGUGGGCAAUGCUGUUUUGCUUUGGUUUUGGCUGGCACUCCAUGUCCUUGGGGAGGAUGGAGGGCAGAUGGAUGGCUGUGGGAUGGAGCUUCCAAUAACAGGGCUGUGCAAGAGGUGAAAUGGUUCCAUGUGGCUGCACAGAAUGCCCUAAAUCAGCCCAUACCAGCAGGGCACGAUGCUUUCAAGUAUAGAUAAGGAAAGGGGAGCAAUCUGAGUGCAGCACGCAGCAAUGGAGCUGGGUGCAGGAGGGAGCAGUGCCAGGAAUGCCCCAGCAGCAGCUUGGAAAGGCUGGAGAAAUAAUGCAGCCCUUCCUAGAAAUGCACUCUGGAGCUUAAAAGCAGACCUAAUUGAAAAGGAAAAAAACACACAGAGGGGAUAAAAGGGAAAGCUGGGCUCAGAUUAACCUGGAGCUCAGCGAGCUGGGAAGCAGUGGCCAGGUCUCAAAGCCAGUUUCCAACCCAGGCCCUGUGCUGCUUGUUGAACCCAUGCCCAGCAGGGCAGCACAUCGCUCUGGAUGUGGUUCUGGCAGCAGAGCCCACCACGCUCCGCUUCUGUUCUUAAGGUACGUGUUUGCUUUCUGCUUCCCUUCCUGCUCUCUGCAACAGCAGCUCUGCUGCUUCCUGCCUCUCAACCCAGCUCUGCUGCUGUUACCCCAGAUUUGCUUUGGGAUGCUUUCUCCCUUCCCCAAAUGAACCCGGCUGCUGGCUGAACCAAAGGGAACCUAAAGGGAACCCUAUGAACAUGCACAGGGCUGUUUGCUUCCCCCAGCCUAUGGGGAGGGCUGCAGGAAGGUGUGUUUGUGCCUCUCAGGUAUCACUGCUGGAGCAGUGCUCAGCCCACAUUGCUAACCACAGUUAUUUUAGCACUCUGAUGUUGUUGUUCACCUCCCAGCUGCUGCAAUUCAGCUCUUUUCAGCUGCUUCUGUUUCAGCAACAAACACAAGUGCUGCUCCUGCUCCGGUUCAAUCCAGGGCUUUUUGUCCUCUCCAAACAGCAGCAAGAAGGGCUUCAAGAGGCAUUGAAUAACAGAGGAGACUUUGUGCAGACCAGCUUGGUGCUGCUGUGUCUGGUAAGGGACCCCCAGGGAUGUUGCAUGCACUGAGUGCCCUCUGCCUCUUGAUCUCUGCAUCUGGACAGGCAGAAAAAUGCACGACCCAUUCAUUUCAAUUGUUUUUGGGCCUCAGCCUCCGGGUGCUUCCUGAGCUCUGCUCGGUUCAAGGCUUUCCCUUGGCUCCUGCCUGCAGCCAGGAAGGUUGUGAGGAGGGAUUCCCUGGAUGUGACGCUGCCCUGGAUAUGAACCUCCUGCUUUUUCAGCUCUCUGAAAGGAGCAUCUCAGGCUUUGCCUCGUUAUUGCAGAGGAGGCGGAUGUGCAAAAACCUCCUGCGGCUGUUUUUAAUGCAGGCAAAGGCAGAGGCUGUUCACCUCAGGGUGAAAGCUGGAGCUGUCAUUCUCAGGGCAGUAAGAGACCCCCCCACCCCCUGCCUGGUCCUGCCCCUGGGCUGGUCUUUGGGUGGGCAGAUGAGACCCCAUAGGGAACACAGCCCCUUUCUGGCCACAAGAACUGGAGCAGGAGCAUCACCCCUUUAUGGGUAUGGACCUCAGCAUCAGCACCCACACACCAUGGGAUGUUUAGGAGCCCAUCCUGCCAUAGGGAUGCUUAUGUUCCAGGGGCUCCAGCUCUCAGCAUCAGGCUGGGCUGUGCAGUGGGGUGAGAGAAAAGCAUGGCUCCCCCCCCAUCACCCACCCCCAGCCUUGGCAGGGCUCUGAUGGGACUGGAAGGGGGGGAGAACAGGGAGGGACAGAUGGGAGGAGCUGGGACUUCACCGACCCGAUUAACCAGGUUAGAAACCAACCUUGCAAAACCCACAGCACGGAUGGGAACAGGGCUAGAAAUCCCCCUCUCAGCUCAUAGUGGGAGCUGGGAUGCAAGGCAACCUCAACGGGCACGGUGGCAGUGAGCAGCGCUGGAGAGCCAGGAGCAGCGGCGAGACCCCGAGAAGAGGAUGAGAACAUGGGGCUCAAGUUAUCCUGCCUGAAAGGGUUGAAGAUGUGUGUGAGCAGCGGGAAUGGCAGCAGCGGGACCCCAGAACAGGAUGGGAAACACCUCCACGUGCCCUCCAUCAUCGUCACACCACCCACACCCACAGGGACCAUGUUGUGUAGGGACACAUGGAGGGCAACAGGAGGCACGUCACCGCCCUGCAGCCAGUGCUGAGCACCCAUAGGGGACACCAAGAGCUUCAAUACAACCCCAGGGCUGGAUCCUGCCCUGCUGGGGGUGAUGCUUCCCAAUGUGCAGCUUCAUUGGAGAGCCCCGGGAGAGGACGGCGUGCAAAAGCAGAUGGAAACUUCAUUUUUUAAUGACAGCAGCAGAUGGCAAAAGACACAAAAGUGUAUUCACACCAUGUCAGAGCCAUUUAUAAAAGUGCCUGGCGGA
This is an RNA transcript of Coturnix japonica (Japanese quail), 4422 nucleotides long. It is a transcript of the gene named calcimembrin, with no coding region annotated. The record is from RefSeq and is a predicted model, not a curated record. Lineage: Eukaryota; Metazoa; Chordata; Aves; Galliformes; Phasianidae.